Ictalurus punctatus (channel catfish) is the source of this 1250-nucleotide long non-coding RNA. The record is from Ensembl. Lineage: Eukaryota; Metazoa; Chordata; Actinopteri; Siluriformes; Ictaluridae.
CUGCAGUUAAAUCGCCAUUUUAUUGCAAAACGAAUUCAGUUCACUCCUGAAUCGCACGAAGAACAAUAUACAGGGUUCAAACAACAUAACUGAGGGCUACGAAAUGAUUCCGCAAAUUAAAUAUUCCGUGACGGAUCGUUGGACCUCGGCAGUGAUGGCGUGCAAAUUGAUUGUCUUAUAAGCUGCAAAUGCUUGCAUAGAACCCAAGCCUUAGGCACACCGUGUAUGGGAUAACCACAACAGCGGUAUGGCAUGAUACCCGACGUGAAGCAGAGCUUCUGCUACCACCGCACGUUAUUGAGCGAUUGUUUUCCAAUCACAGCACUUCCUGAGUUUUAUUCCACUUAUCCUUGCACGUAACGUGCCGAUAAUUAAAAACGUCACACUUAUUAACAGAUGACGCGGCACACUUUUUAACCAGGUACGUUUAACGAUGUGGAACAUCCGCGGCACGUGUUCGUUCCCGCCGUCACUUAGAUCUCGUCGUCUUACGUUACGCCGAGAGUCCGCGCUACAGUACACACCUAAAAAAAAAAAAAAAGAAGAAGAAGGGAAAAAAAAGACUAUACGUUGCUAUAGAAACCUGCGAGUUGAAUUACAGCCGGCACCAGAUGGAGCCGAGCUGCUUGAGAAAAUUAAUCAACACCUUCCGACCAAUCAGAUUCAAGAAUGACUUUGAAACUCUGUGAAUAUAUAUAUAUAUACAUAUAAAACUUUCCAGCUGGGUUUUGUAGGUAAAAAAAAAAAAAAAACACUUAAAAAGAAAGCGAAAACAAACAUGAACGUGGUUUUUUGCAUGCGUUUGCGAAGGUACUCAUGCGUCAUUUGUCCUCCACUGAGGAGCUCUACUUCCUGCGGUUACCGUUUUGCUACUCUCAGUUUUCACUGGUUAUUGAUGUUCGGCGUUGAGAAGUGCAGUCAGGUCAGGUUGAGAAAAUUACUCCGAGUUCAAGUGGCCUUCGGUACUUUUUCCAUUUUCCGGAAACUAGAACCGCGUCCUGAAAUCCGUAUAGACGGGUGCAGAUCGGCACCCGCCUCAGCUCGACUGCAGGUUAGGGAACGUGACCCAAGGACGCAUAAAUUCCAGACAGGCAAGAUUGUAAGGAUUCGCGGAUAAUUAAAAACGAAGCCCGGAAAGUGCCUUGUCAGAUUAUGCAACGAAAAAAAAUUGAAUUCAACCUUAACUCUGCUCCUGACUUGGCAGGGAUCUGAGAGCGUCUGGGAGGCCUGCUGUCUCCCUCCCUUUUCCU